GACGAACGCUGGCGGCGUGCUUAACACAUGCAAGUCGAACGGAAAGGCCCUGCUUUUGUGGGGUGCUCGAGUGGCGAACGGGUGAGUAACACGUGAGUAACCUGCACUUGACUUUGGGAUAACUUCAGGAAACUGGGGCUAAUAUCGGAUAGGAGCUCCUGCUGCAUGGUGGGGGUUGGUAAGUUUCGGCGGUUGGGGAUGGACUCGCGGCUUAUCCGCUUGUUGGUGGGGUAGUGGCUUACCAAGGGUUUGACGGGUAGCCGGCCUGAGAGGGUGACCGGCCACAUUGGGACUGAGAUACGGCCCAGACGCCUACGGGAGGCAGCAGUGGGGAAUAUUGCACAAUGGGCGGAAGCCUGAUGCAGCAACGCCGCGUGCGGGAUGACGGCCUUCGGGUUGUAAACCGCUUUCGCCUGUGACGAAGCGUGAGUGACGGUAAUGGGUAAAGAAGCACCGGCUAACUACGUG
This 468-nucleotide ribosomal RNA is filed under the name uncultured bacterium. Its description in RNAcentral is "partial 16S ribosomal RNA". It matches the Rfam family "Bacterial small subunit ribosomal RNA", at positions 28 to 507 of the family's 1533-position model. The record is from RNAcentral.